This 329-nucleotide unclassified non-coding RNA is filed under the name uncultured fungus. RNAcentral describes it as "partial contains 5.8S ribosomal RNA, internal transcribed spacer 2, and large subunit ribosomal RNA". The stretch from base 1 to 52 matches the Rfam family "5.8S ribosomal RNA", at positions 103 to 154 of the family's 154-position model. Lineage: Eukaryota; Fungi. The record is from RNAcentral.
AACGCACCUUGCGCUCCGUGGUAUUCCGCGGAGCAUGCCUGUUUGAGUGUCGCGCCCCUCUCAACCCCCAGCCCUCUAGUUCGGAGGCGCCUGCGUGGGCUUGGACCGUGGCCUCCAGUCGACGCCGCUCUUCGCGAGCGCGCCGAGGGCCGAAAGACGAUCGAGCGCCCUCCUUUGGCGGACCGGCCGACGACGUUUGUACGCACCCUUCGUCCGUCCCUUGCGUGCCGCCGCCCUGUCACCGAGGCUCGCGCUGCGAACCCCGCGCAUUUUGCGAAAAAUGACACCCUUUCGACCUCAAAUCAGGCAGGACGACCCGCUGAACUUAA